AUUUUUUAUUUUUUAUUUUUAAUUGGUUGAGGUUGUUUUAUCUAAUGGCUUAAUUUCACCUGCCAUCAGGGGGUUGUAAGGAUGCAUUACUUCAUUUUUAAUUGGAUCACAAAACUCCCAAACAUCAAUUUAAUUAACAGCUAAAUUACUCUUACUUGAUUCUGUUGGGGCCUUUGGCCAAACACUGAUGUGGCACUUCCAUGACUGGGUUUUUAGUAACUAAAAAUACCCUCUGCUGCAUGUUGCCACACUUUCUUCUCUGUGCAUUGGCUCUCUCUGUCUUUAGUUUCUCUCUCCACUCUCUCUCUAUGUGUAUCCUCUCCCUUUUCUUCUUGCCCCAUACUCUCUCUGUAUCUCUCCCCACUGCCUAUUCCUCUCUGUCCAUCUCUCUAUCUGUGUAAAUCUUUCUCCCUCUCUCAACCAAAACAAACAAAAUCCCCUUUAUUAUCUCUGAUGAUUCGUGUGUGUUUUAGUUGUUUCUUUUUUUUUUUCCUUGGCUUUGAGCGCCAAGAAUUCAAAAUCAGUUACUUUGUUGAAAGUUCCUCAUGUUUUUUAAGCUAAUGUUCAAGCAAUCUCUGAGAAUUCAAAUUUCAAACCCCAAUUUAUUCAAGCUCUGGUGCAAAACCCAUAAAUUCCCCACUGGCCUAAUGCUCCAUGACCGACUCCAAUUUUGGCAGGACAUGGAAUGGCAGAAAUGGUGAAAAUGCUGGUAAAUUUUGGAGUAUUUAUGGUUCAGCUGCCCCGACGAGCAUAAAUAAGUUUCCCAAUGGAAAGUAUGGAUACGAAUAGAAAGAGGAUUGACAACAUCACAAGGGAAAUUUCAGUGAAGGGGACAAUCUGAAAUCCAGUGGGUUAUUGCAUUAUGGUAAUGAAAACAAGGAUUUUCUGAAUGAAAAGGGGUUUGGAGGUUUGAAGAAGGCCAAUUUGCUAAACAGGCUGCUUAAAAGGAUGAGCCUGAAGGUGGGUGUGGAAUAAGGAAGACAGGGAGUGGGAGAGAGAAGAGGAGGCUUGGAGUGGGG
RNAcentral lists this unclassified non-coding RNA (1019 nucleotides) under Hevea brasiliensis (rubber tree). The record is from RNAcentral. Lineage: Eukaryota; Viridiplantae; Streptophyta; Magnoliopsida; Malpighiales; Euphorbiaceae.